UGGGGAAUAUUGCACAAUGGGCGAAAGCCUGAUGCAGCAACGCCGCGUGAGUGAUGAAGGUCUUCGGAUUGUAAAGCUCUGUCUUUUGGGACGAUAAUGACGGUACCAAAGGAGGAAGCCACGGCUAACUACGUGCCAGCAGCCGCGGUAAUACGUAGGUGGCGAGCGUUGUCCGGAUUUACUGGGCGUAAAGGGUGCGUAGGCGGAUGUUUAAGUGAGAUGUGAAAUACCCGGGCUUAACUUGGGUGCUGCAUUUCAAACUGGAUAUCUAGAGUGCAGGAGAGGAGAAUGGAAUUCCUAGUGUAGCGGUGAAAUGCGUAGAGAUUAGGAAGAACACCAGUGGCGAAGGCGAUUCUCUGGACCGUAACUGACGCUGAGGCACGAAAGCGUGGGUAGCAAACAGGAUUAGAUACCCUGGUAGUCCACGCCGUAAACGAUGAGUACUAGGUGUAGGAGGUAUCGACCCCUUCUGUGCCGCAGUAAACACAUUAAGUACUCCGCCUGGGAAGUACGAUCGCAAGAUUAAAACUCUAAAGUGAAUUGAC
RNAcentral lists this ribosomal RNA (545 nucleotides) under uncultured bacterium. RNAcentral's name for it is "partial 16S ribosomal RNA". It matches the Rfam family "Bacterial small subunit ribosomal RNA", at positions 355 to 914 of the family's 1533-position model. The record is from RNAcentral.